Long non-coding RNA from Bos indicus x Bos taurus (hybrid cattle), 1496 nucleotides. The record is from Ensembl. Lineage: Eukaryota; Metazoa; Chordata; Mammalia; Artiodactyla; Bovidae.
CAGAAAUUCAGCCCUCCAGAUCCUCCCAGGCUUCUAGACAACAAGCAAAAACAACUUUAGAUGUUGGAACUGUGUGAAGGGGCCCACGAGGGCCUUUCAUAGAUUUUCCAGUUACAUUUUUUUUUUUUUUAAGGCAAGUCAUCCUUUGAAUGGCAAACAUGGAGAACCAGCUGUUUACUUAUGUCUAAAAUGUAAAUCUUCCCAGAAUUGAAUUUGGUUUGGGUCCAGUGGGGUUGCAAGGUUCCUGGAUGAUUUCUUUAAGACAAUUCUUGGGUGGAGCUGGGCUGUCUUCAGAAGAGGAGCUGGAAUUUUCCUUCAGUCCCCACAAGCCCUCAAGGUCUUGGCAGCACAUUGUCCUUGGCCUCCAACUUGCUUCUCCGCUUUCUAAGGCCGUUCCAUUUUCUGGGAGUCUUUCUGCUCCUUUCCAGCCCCCUUCCUACGUGUUUCCAGGCUCUCUCUCCAUCUCAGGAAACAAACUCACACCUGCCUGGAGUCAGCCUUUUCUGCUACCUCCUCAGGUCCACCUAUAGCAAACGAAGCAUCAGUCAUCAUCCCUUGUGAUACGUGAGGCUGCUGGCCUUUAAUUCAACAGACUUCCAGUCUUAGGAGAAGUAGAGCGUCUGACUCAGGGAAGGGCAGGGGCUGAGAGACAAGCCUUGUAAUUAAACUAAGAUGUUGGAGUAUUUCUGUGUGUGCCCUUAGUCUUAAAACACAGUGUACUUUUGGACAUAUAUCUAGUUAUAAGGAACCUGUCUAUCAUGAAUUCUAUAAACAUGGUGAUAAAUUCUCUAAAUUUCAAACUGGAACACAUCAUCCAGCUAAAAGUGUUUUGUUUUGUUUUGUUAUCAGCCAUGCCACGCAGCACGCAGAUCUUCAUUCCCCAACCAGAGACUGAAGGUUUGGGAAUGCAGAGUCUUAACCACGGGACCAAGAGGGAAGUUCCAAAGAUUUUGUAAGUGUGUGUGUGUGUGUGUGUGUGUGUGUGUGUGUGUGUGUGAAGUCAAUUAAUCUUUAUGAGCUAUAUAUCCCAGUUAGUUAGUCAAUAACAGAAAUCUUUUACUGGAGAAAAUAGAAUUUUCUAAAAUCACGACUGUACCAGGAGAGCUGGCAUGGAGGUAAACAUCCAUGACUCCAUGUGGCACUUAGAUUGCAGAUCCAUCCUGAAGAAUGUUUUUGAUUCACUUAUUAUUCUUACAGAUCUGAUCUUUCAUAAUUCUCUUGUGAAUCUGGGCAUGGUCCACUCUGCCAGUUAUUUUUUUUUUAAAAGCUGUUAUCACUCAAUGAACAUUAGUGAAUGAAGUUGCAAGAUAGGUUUUUUGUUUGUUUGUUUGUUUUUUUAAUCUCUUUCAAAACUGUAGUUUUCCCACCUGGAGACACUGUCCACAACCCUCUAGGGCGUGAAUAUGUUUCAGAGUCAUGGGACUCCUUGUUGACCCAAGCAUUCCAAACUUGUGUGUCAUACAGCAGUGGAGAACGAAUCCAAGUCUGAAAGCCAC